CCAAGCUUAACCAUGCCAAG
RNAcentral lists this non-coding RNA (20 nucleotides) under Vibrio phage 1.184.A._10N.286.49.A5. The record is from RNAcentral. Lineage: Duplodnaviria; Heunggongvirae; Uroviricota; Caudoviricetes.